CCAGGUUCCCUGUGUCAGCCCAGGGAUCAGGGACAGAAAAGCCCUUGGAAGCCUGGGUCAGCAAGACAGCCAGCAUGGAGAAACAGGCUCCUCUUCUGCAGUCUACCUGUGCCCCACUGAGAGAGACUGAUAAUGGGCUCAUGGCCCUAGGAGGCCCAGAACUUCCUGCUGCCUCCUCCAGCCUCCUUCUGCCCCUGCAGAACUGGGAAUCCUCCACCAUGGCCAGCAGGCCCCUCACCAGGCUGCAGCUCCAGGAGGCACUGCUGAACCUCAUCCAGAAUGACGACAACUUCUUAAGCAUAAUCUACGAAGCCUAUCUCUUCAGCGUGACACAAGCCGCCAUGAGAAAAGCCACGUGACCAGCUACCUGAGAGCAAAGACUGAGAACUGGUUUUCCGGGGUCUUCCUGUGAACUGGUGUGACCAAACACAUUUAUGCCUUUUUAACAAAGUAUAGUGAUGCAGAGUAAAAUGUUUUGUACUAUCC
This 486-nucleotide long non-coding RNA is filed under the name Rattus norvegicus (Norway rat). RNAcentral's name for it is "long non-coding RNA NONRATT020844". Lineage: Eukaryota; Metazoa; Chordata; Mammalia; Rodentia; Muridae. The record is from RNAcentral.